UACGGGAGGCAGCAGUGGGGAAUAUUGCACAAUGGGCGCAAGCCUGAUGCAGCCAUGCCGCGUGUAUGAAAAAGGCCUUCGGGUUGUAAAGUACUUUCAGUCGUGAGGAAGGUGUUAAGGUUAAUAACCUUAGCAAUUGACGUUAGCGACAGAAGAAGCACCGGCUAACUCCGUGCCAGCAGCCGCGGUAAUACGGAGGGUGCGAGCGUUAAUCGGAAUUACUGGGCGUAAAGGGCACGCAGGCGGUUAAUUAAGUUGGAUGUGAAAUCCCCGGGCUUAACCUGGGAAUGGCAUUCAAGACUGGUUAGCUAGAGUCUUGUAGAGGGGGUAGAAUUCCAUGUGUAGCGGUGAAAUGCGUAGAGAUGUGGAGGAAUACCGGUGGCGAAGGCGGCCCCUGGGACAAAGGACUGACGCUCAUGUGCGAAAGCGUGGGGAGCAAAC
This 441-nucleotide ribosomal RNA is filed under the name uncultured bacterium. RNAcentral's name for it is "bacterial SSU rRNA". It matches the Rfam family "Bacterial small subunit ribosomal RNA", at positions 340 to 773 of the family's 1533-position model. The record is from RNAcentral.